RNAcentral lists this ribosomal RNA (687 nucleotides) under Triticum aestivum (bread wheat). RNAcentral describes it as "partial small subunit ribosomal RNA". Lineage: Eukaryota; Viridiplantae; Streptophyta; Magnoliopsida; Poales; Poaceae. The record is from RNAcentral.
CUGAACUUUCAAAACUGUGUUGUGGUUAAUAUUCUCAAAGGUGAUGUGGACAAGGAGUUGCUGUUAAGUCUUUUGACUGCUACCUUCUGCAAAACUAGACAGUGGCCUUGGCAGAUCAGGGGGCUGUCCAGUAAGACAUUCCUGCUGAGAUUUCCACCAUGGAAGAAAGUGGAGGAUCUCAUCGAAUUGCUUGGAUUCUCUUUGCCUCAAGAUGUCUCUGUUACACUUAUUGAGUGGAAGGGGGCAUGCGAACCUUUUGGAGAGCUUGUUUAGACUUGGGUUCUGAUUGAAGGAAUUCCUCCUAAAUGGUGCACAUGGAAAGUUUUUGCUCAGAUUGCUUCCCUGUUUGGGGUACUGACUGAUGUAGACUGGAAUGGCAUGUUCAGGACCUUUUUUGAGAAUGUUAGGAUUAAAAUUGCUUGCAGGGACCCCACAAAAAUCCCAUUUGAAAGGCUCAUUGAGAUGAAGAAGAAGUUGUUUUUACUGGGCUUCACUGUGGAGGGCUUUGAACAAGUUGGUGGGGUUGACUCUGUUAUUGAUAUUGAGGAUGAUGAGGAGUUUGAAGGAGAGGGUGAUGCUGAGAGACAGGAGGAUGAGGGUGGAAAUGUUCAGAAGGAUGGCUUGGAAGACUUACUUGAUAGUGAGGGGGCAAUUGAUGAGUUAGAUAAGGCUAAUAUUACUAGUUAG